CUCCCUGUGGCUCAGUUGGUAGAGCAUGGUGUUUGCAACGCCAGGGUUGUGGGUUCGAUUCCCACGGGGGACC
This 73-nucleotide transfer RNA is filed under the name Salmo salar (Atlantic salmon). It matches the Rfam family "tRNA". Rfam says of the family: Transfer RNA (tRNA) molecules are approximately 80 nucleotides in length. Their secondary structure includes four short double-helical elements and three loops (D, anti-codon, and T loops). Lineage: Eukaryota; Metazoa; Chordata; Actinopteri; Salmoniformes; Salmonidae. RNAcentral also lists the same sequence under 1 other name. The record is from Rfam by way of RNAcentral.